This 117-nucleotide ribosomal RNA is filed under the name Deltaproteobacteria bacterium CG11_big_fil_rev_8_21_14_0_20_49_13. The record is from RNAcentral. Lineage: Bacteria; Deltaproteobacteria.
UCUGGUGACCUUGGAGGAGGGGCAACACCCGUUCCCAUACCGAACACGGCCGUUAAGCCCUCCAUCGCCGAUGGUACUGCAGGGUAUCCCUUGUGGAAGAGUAGGACGUUGCCAGAU